UGAAAAGAAAUCUAGGUUGCGUUCUCAUCGUCGCCUCCGUCAUGUCUUUACGUUUCUGGUAACGGUUCAGCAGAGACUUUACUCCCGUUGAUUGUUACCUCCACGACGUCUCUUCAAUGCGGUCCUUGCGUCACAGAGGCGAUGAGUUUUUUGUGUAUAAAUAGAUGUUUCAGGAGAGACUGUUGGAUCCAAGAGAAGCAAGCAAGAUUAAGCUGAACUUAAUAUAGAAGUGUAAUCGGUACCUGAAGGUACUUCUGCAGUCCUAUGUAUACACAUUAAAAGUUGUGGCUCUGCUCUGGGAUCCAUGCAACAGACCGACUGCUGCAGAGGCUUGGUACGUUCCGUCCUUUCAGAGUUUCAGGUACACCAGAUAGUAUGUGCUUCAGACGCUAUGGCUGUUACCGUUCCUGUCUUCAUCAGUUGAUUUAACUUUUGUACAUGAUGUUAAGUGUUUGCUGUGCAAUCUUUGUAGCUGCAGAGGCUCUGUACGUUCCGUCCAUUUUUUUGUACUGGAAAGAUUUUCUUUUUUUGAAGAUAAUAUUAACAGUUUAUAUUGC
Molecule: long non-coding RNA, 557 nt
Organism: Brassica napus (rape)
Lineage: Eukaryota; Viridiplantae; Streptophyta; Magnoliopsida; Brassicales; Brassicaceae
Exons: 4
Source: RefSeq, a predicted model, not a curated record